AGUGAACGCUGGCGGUAGGCCUAACACAUGCAAGUCGAACGGCAGCACAGUAAGAGCUUGCUCUUACGGGUGGCGAGUGGCGGACGGGUGAGGAAUACAUCGGAAUCUACUUUUUCGUGGGGGAUAACGUAGGGAAACUUACGCUAAUACCGCAUACGACCUACGGGUGAAAGCAGUGGAUCUUCGGACCUUGCGCGAUUGAAUGAGCCGAUGUCGGAUUGGCUAGUUGGCGGGGUAAAGGCCCACCAAGGCGACGAUCCGUAGCUGGUCUGAGUGAAUGAUCAGCCACACUGGAACUGAGACACGGUCCAGACUCCUACGGGAAGCAGCAGUGGGGAAUAUUGGACAAUGGGCGCAAGCCUGAUCCAGCCAUACCGCGUGGGUGAAGAAGGCCUUCGGGUUGUAAAGCCCUUUUGUUGGGAAAGAAAAGCAGCAGGUUGAUACCCCGCUGUUCUGACGGUACCCAAAGAAUAAGCACCGGCUAACUUCGUG
Molecule: ribosomal RNA, 492 nt
Filed under: uncultured bacterium
Lineage: Bacteria
Description: partial 16S ribosomal RNA
Rfam family: Bacterial small subunit ribosomal RNA
Source: RNAcentral